UCUACUCCCUUUCCUACUCCGGUGACGAGCGCCUGCUAGCAGUUCCUCUGAUAGGACGCUCCGAUCUCCCCACCGCAUUUCUGGGGCUGUUCCCCCAAGCCAGGCACAUCUCGGACUUCAUCUCUGCCUCCUGGCUUCCCUGGCUUCCUUCCAGUCUCAGCUUCGCCUUUCCUCUGCCCCUACCCCCAAAUUAUCCUGUAUGUAACCUGUAUGUUCUGCAUGCUGUCUCUCUAGACAAGACUGGGAGCUAAUUAAGAGCAAGGACACAUCCCCAGCACUUAACACUGUUACCUGGCACGUGGUUAGAGAGAAUGAGUUCAUGUUGUAGGUGACCAUACCAGGACAUGAGAUACUCUGCUCCCUUUUUAAGGAACCAGACGACAUUUCCCCAGAAUUCACCUUUUGCUCUUUCAAGUUAGAGACCUUAGACUGUGCAGCAUCGUAAAUGGAGGUUCUCCUAUUCAGUUCCUGUGAUUUAGACCUGGAAGAAAUUAUAGAAUAUAAACUACUUGAGAUAGGGAAACUGAGACCCAGAGAAGAUUUAACUACCAUCACAAGUACAGUGGCAAAUAGCGCUAUGGAACCGGGGUUUGAUGAGUGUCUGUGCCACUUGCUAUCUGUGUCUUCUUGAAAAAGUCACUUAACCUCUCAACUCUGAAUUUAUGAUACUAUGAACUAUGGUUAUCAAACCCCAAAUUCAGGACUUUUCCCACUUUACCAUGCUGCCCUUGAGCAUCACAUUGUUCUUGAAUUGAGUCAAGGUUUUAAAGAUGUCAAACUGUGCCCCAUUCAUUUUUGCAGAACUCAACCUAACAUAAUAAAAACAAAUCUUAACAUAUCUUCAUCUCUCUCCGUAAAACCCACUUAACUCUUCCUCCACCCAAACCCUGCCAUCCCUAUCCCCAAAACCGUAGGGAAAGUUCUAGCUGAUAAUUUAUUGUAACAAAGAAAAAUAGCAAAGCAACAUGUAGCAACCAAAAGGUCAAUUCUGACAGCAUACUGUCAAGGCAAAAGGUGGGGAGAGGAAUGUGUUUCAUUGUCUCUUCUCAGGGACCAAAAUUGUGCUUUACAAUUAAUCUUGGCUCUGCUGCUUCUUAUUGUAUUAAUUUACACUUGUAGCACCCAGUCAAUUCAAUCAAGUGUCCUGGGUUGAUUAAUGAAAUUAUAGGAUGUAAGGGGCAGGUAACAGACAGUAAGAUGUAAAGGUUACAUUUGAGAUUUGGAGUGGUAGUUAUAAGACUUAGUCCUUUUCACAUCCUGAAUGGUCUAGUCACAUUUUAACAAUAUAUUUGCUUAGGAGAGAGCUAGGAAACUCUAAGGACUGACAAAGAAAAUGGAUAUGCCAGUAUCCUUUUCUCCACCCACUUAGUAAACAGCAAGGCCUGAGGAGUUGAAUCUGCCAGCAAUCAGGCUUCAGGAUCAGUGUACAUGAAAGCCUGCUAUGGAAUAACUUGCUCUUCAUCUUACACCUUUUCCUUUGUGAUUCUUGGAGAGUACAGCAAGGGGAUGGAAAGUGGUUUGGCAGUAUCUCCUUUCACUUCUCCCCUUGUCAGGUGCCAAGACCACCCCUCUCUUUUUACUCCUCUCUUUUCACAAUUUGGAGACAACCUGUUUUGCAGAGCAAGCAAGCUGUGCCCUGAGCUUGGCAUAACAACAAUCCUUUGUGCUCACCCUCUGGAUAAACUCUGCCACAGCAAAAUCCCACAACUGUUUCAGACCAGCCCCAAGUGGUCUGUGAACUUGGAUAAAUACCUGCAGGACACAUGUUCCUGUCAUGAAGCCCUGCUAUGCAUCACACUUAUCGCAUUAUUGUUGUUACCUCUCAUUGUCUAUGUUUUUCAGAAUUAACUAUGGCUGUGAUAACCUGUGUAAGCUCUUUGGUAGUUUCAGAAUUAACAGCAGUUGUACAACCUAUGUGACUCUUUGGUCAAUUGUUUUCAUAUUUGAGUCUCCCCAACAGCAAUGGCUUAUUUUAGAAGCAAAUAGACAUAGGAGAUAUACAUUAUGUAUAUAGCCUGUGAGAAGAGACCAGUGGCAAAAUCAAGUCAUGCUAGUGUGAGUAGAGUUUGGCCCCUAGAUAUCCUGGUCAGGAGAUGGCAAUUCCCAAGACUCCCCUUGGGUUCCAGUUCUUUGCAAAAGUGCAUAGCAAUAUACUAGGCUGAGAUGUCAGCUGAGCCCCAAACCAAGGGCAGGGGUGACUACAGCCACGCAACAUCUAGCAGAGUCCAGUGGAGACUGGCAGAGACUAUGACUGAGAUUGGCGGACAUCAGUCCUCCAGUAGCCCUAAAGCAUUGGAGGCAUAAGUGGCUGCCAUACGCCUUAGCCACAUGAGUUCCCUAUUGUAUCCUCUCUUCCUCUGACACCAAGUGUAUUCAGGGGACAGGAUGCCCAAGGUUUGUGGAAAUAUUUUGUUGUCACUGUUCCUACUAUGCUUUUCAGCAAAUACUUUGUGCUCUCGCCAUUCAUUGUGCCCCUCUGACACUACCACAACCCUGGGGACCAUCUCCAGUCAUGCUGAUCUAUAUCUGGCCACUGGCUGGUGACUUUGCACAGCCCUCCCUCACUUAAA
This is a non-coding RNA of Phascolarctos cinereus (koala), 2570 nucleotides long. The record is from RefSeq and is a predicted model, not a curated record. NCBI's taxonomy places the organism in Eukaryota, Metazoa, Chordata, Mammalia, Diprotodontia, Phascolarctidae.